RNAcentral lists this long non-coding RNA (244 nucleotides) under Setaria italica (foxtail millet). RNAcentral describes it as "long non-coding RNA (SITA_LNC005476)". Lineage: Eukaryota; Viridiplantae; Streptophyta; Magnoliopsida; Poales; Poaceae. The record is from RNAcentral.
UUAAUAAACCGCCACCUGUUCUUUGUGAAGAUCUCCAUGGAUGCGAUCUCCAAAGCACGACAUACCCUUGUUAUGGUGUCCCAGACCGCCUCCUUCUGAAGCAAGGCCCGCAAUCGGAUCCAGUGUGUGGUCCUAAAAAAGAUCUGCAAACAAGAUUGUGUGCAUACUUUAUCAAAAACUACAUUAUUUGUGCUAAGCCAAAUGACCCAGCAACCGCACUUAUACCCAUCAAGAUGAGGCUUUU